RNAcentral lists this transfer RNA (75 nucleotides) under Geoalkalibacter ferrihydriticus. RNAcentral's name for it is "tRNA_Gln_TTG". It matches the Rfam family "tRNA". Rfam says of the family: Transfer RNA (tRNA) molecules are approximately 80 nucleotides in length. Lineage: Bacteria; Pseudomonadati; Thermodesulfobacteriota; Desulfuromonadia; Desulfuromonadales; Geoalkalibacteraceae. RNAcentral also lists the same sequence under 5 other names. The record is from RNAcentral.
UGGGGCGUCGCCAAGCGGUAAGGCAUCGGAUUUUGAUUCCGACAUACCCAGGUUCGAAUCCUGGCGCCCCAGCCA